RNAcentral lists this ribosomal RNA (270 nucleotides) under uncultured bacterium. RNAcentral describes it as "partial 16S ribosomal RNA". It matches the Rfam family "Bacterial small subunit ribosomal RNA", at positions 333 to 595 of the family's 1533-position model. The record is from RNAcentral.
UCGGGCCUACGGGACGCAGCAGUAGGGAAUCUUCCACAAUGGGCGAAAGCCUGAUGGAGCAACGCCGCGUGGGUGAAGAAGGUCUUCGGAUCGUAAAACCCUGUUGUUAGAGAAGAAAGUGCGUGAGAGUAACUGUUCACGUUUCGACGGUAUCUAACCAGAAAGCCACGGCUAACUACGUGCCAGCAGCCGCGGUAAUACGUAGGUGGCAAGCGUUAUCCGGAUUUAUUGGGCGUAAAGGGAACGCAGGCGUUCUUUUAUGUCUGAUUU